RNAcentral lists this microRNA (22 nucleotides) under Echinococcus granulosus. RNAcentral's name for it is "egr-miR-10288-5p". Lineage: Eukaryota; Metazoa; Platyhelminthes; Cestoda; Cyclophyllidea; Taeniidae. The record is from miRBase by way of RNAcentral.
UGGUGUGGAGCUGUAGAAUAUG